This 467-nucleotide ribosomal RNA is filed under the name uncultured bacterium. RNAcentral describes it as "partial 16S ribosomal RNA". It matches the Rfam family "Bacterial small subunit ribosomal RNA", at positions 28 to 507 of the family's 1533-position model. The record is from RNAcentral.
GACGAACGCUGGCGGCGUGCUUAACACAUGCAAGUCGAACGGAAACGCCCUGCUUUUCUGCGGUGCUCGAGUGACGAAGGGGUGAGUAACACGUUAGUAACCUGCCCUCCUCUUUGGGAUAGCUUCAGGACACUGGGGCUAAUAUCGGAUAGGAUCUCCUGUCGCAUGGUGGGCGUUGGAAAGUUUCGGCGGUUGGGGAUGGACUCGCGGCUUAUCCGCUUGUUGGUGGGGUAGUGGCUUACCAAGGCUUUGACGGAUAGCCGGCCUGACAGGGAGACCGGCCACAGACGGACGGAGGUAGGACCCGGACAGAAUCGGGAGGGAGGAGUGAGGGAUAGAGCACAAGAGACGGAGGCCUGAUGGAGCGACGCCGGGUGCGGGAGGACGGCCGUCGGGAUGGAAACCGAGUUCGCCUAGAACGAAGCGUGAGGAAGGGAACUGGAUAAGAAGCCACGGCCUACCUAGUG